RNAcentral lists this ribosomal RNA (690 nucleotides) under Pseudogyndesoides pallidus. Its description in RNAcentral is "partial large subunit ribosomal RNA". The stretch from base 1 to 206 matches the Rfam family "Eukaryotic large subunit ribosomal RNA", at positions 160 to 358 of the family's 3401-position model. The record is from RNAcentral. Lineage: Eukaryota; Metazoa; Arthropoda; Arachnida; Opiliones; Gonyleptidae.
ACGCUUUCGGGUGCCGCCUCCGGUGCAAGUCCCCCUGACCGGGGCUCCCACCCCGAGAGGGUGCAAGGCCCGUAGCGGCCGGAAGGCGGUCCCGGAUGUCCUCUCCCGGGAGUCGGGUUGCUUGAGAGUGCAGCCCCAAUCAGGUGGUAAACUCCAUCUAAGGCUAAAUACGACCUGGAGACCGAUAGCGAACAAGUACCGUGAGGGAAAGUUGAAAAGGACUUUGAAGAGAGAGUUCAAGAGUACGUGAAACCGUUCGGAGGUAAACGAGUGGGCCCUCGAAGUGUGAAGGCGGGGGGACUCAGCCGAACGCCGUCGAGCCCGCGGGCGGGUCCGCGCUUCCCUCCCGGGACGCGGCCCGCCCGUGUGCUGGCUCCGGUUUGCGGCGCAUUUCCUCCCGUCCUCCGACGCCGCGACCGGUCGGGCGCGCCACGAGCAGUCGGCCUUACUCGCGGGAGACGGAAGGUAGCCGGGUCGGCGCGCACGCGCCGCUCCCCGGUGUUUAGCCGUCCCGCAAUCGAGUCAGCCGUUCGCCCGACCGCAGGACCCAAGGCCCUCAGGGGCCCCGCCGUGCCCUCCCCCGUUUUCGGGGGAUCGCUUCCCGCCUCGGAAGGGAUGCCGCUCUGUCCCCGCGCCGCACCUCCGGUGCGCGCGGGGCGGCGGCGCCCGCUGGCCGGGGCGGUCGCGAUU